CUCAAAAUAAUUUGUUUUCCCUAUCUCUAUUUCUCCUUGUUUUUCCAUGACUGUAAGUGUCUUUCAAGUUUCACUAGCCAAAUUCUCCGGAUCUGAUGUAAAAAGGAAAGAAACAUAAAAUUAAUUUCAUGGCAGAAAACGUAUGUUUUUGCACGUUCAAUUAUUUUCCAUCUCAAAAAUUUCUACUCUAAUGAGUGAAGAUACAUAUGUAACACUAAUUUUUAAGUUAUUAUUAGAGACUAACCUUUCUAGUUGAUGAAAAAUCUGAAAUGGCUGCUGUUUGUUUUUGUGUAUGACUAUAUUAACUUGAUAACAUAUGUGUGGAGGAGAAGAUAAAGAGAGAAGGGUUAGGCAGAAAAAUAUGUUUGGACUAGUCAUCACAUGCAGCAUUGAUUGUAAGAGUAUAAUGUGCCUUCCCCUUUCCAGCAAACUAUUAGCUUUGAUAAAAUUUGUGUGGAGGAGAAGAUACACAGAAAAGAG
Molecule: long non-coding RNA, 480 nt
Filed under: Capsicum annuum
Lineage: Eukaryota; Viridiplantae; Streptophyta; Magnoliopsida; Solanales; Solanaceae
Description: long non-coding RNA (CANN_LNC010702)
Source: RNAcentral